UACGUAGGGUGCGAGCGUUAAUCGGAAUUACUGGGCGUAAAGAGCUCGUAGGCGGUUUGUCGCGUCUGCUGUGAAAUCCCGAGGCUCAACCUCGGGUCUGCAGUGGGUACGGGCAGACUGGAGUGCGGUAGGGGAGAAUGGAAUUCCUGGUGUAGCGGUGGAAUGCGCAGAUAUCAGGAGGAACACCGAUGGCGAAGGCAGUUCUCUGGGCCGUAACUGACGCUGAGGAGCGAAAGCGUGGGGAGCGAACAGG
Molecule: ribosomal RNA, 253 nt
Filed under: uncultured bacterium
Lineage: Bacteria
Description: partial 16S ribosomal RNA
Rfam family: Bacterial small subunit ribosomal RNA
Source: RNAcentral